RNAcentral lists this long non-coding RNA (1403 nucleotides) under Bos indicus x Bos taurus (hybrid cattle). RNAcentral describes it as "lncRNA (ENSBIXG00000020351.1)". The record is from RNAcentral. Lineage: Eukaryota; Metazoa; Chordata; Mammalia; Artiodactyla; Bovidae.
GGGGUGACUCCGUGAAUGUCCUGAGCGUACAGGAGUGUGUGAGUGUCCCUGAGUGUGUGCUUGUGUCUGGGGGUGACUCCGUGAAUGUCCUGAGCUACAGGAGUGUGUGAGUGUCCCUGAGUGUGUGCUUGUGUCUGGGGGUGACUCCGUGAAUGUCCUGAGCGUACAGGAGUGUGUGGAUGUCCCUGAGUGUGUGCUUGUGUCUGGGGGUGACUCCGUGAAUGUCCUGAGCGUACAGGAGUGUGUGAGUGUCCCUGAGUGUGUGCUUGUGUCUGGGGGUGACUCCGUGAAUGUCCUGAGCUACAGGAGUGUGUGAAUGUCUCUGAGUGUGUUUCCAGUGUGCAUUGGUGGGACCAGGUGGACAAGGGCUUGUGUAACUGUGUUGCUAGCAGUCUUCUGAGAUCAGGUUUGAACGUUUGUGAGUCCACAUCGAGCCACCUCUACCCACUGACCCCUGAGCCUUCAAAAACCCCAGCCUCUGUGUCCCCCUCCCUUCCUGGUGACUCACCUCCCUGCCAUCCCUGCCCCUCCCCCACCAGCCUCCUGUCUUGAAGGGCAGUCCCCUCUGUGCAGUUUGCCUUCUUUCCACCCAAACGGAGUCUCUGUCACUUCCUCCAGGUAGCCUUCUGUGAUCAGAGAAGGAGCCCUAACAUUAGCUCAGCAGUUGUACCUCCAAUUGACAAAUGAGAACGUGGGCUCAAAGUACCGCAGUGACCACAGCAGUUCCCAUGACGGGGAAGCUGAGGCUCAGAGAGGAUUCAGAAAAUGCAGACCAUAUCCACCCCCAACACUACCUGCCCAGCCGGGAAGCACAGGGGUCAUUCUCUUGGAGGGUGAGAGAGGGCAACUCCACUCUGGGUAAGAAAGUCAUCACAAGAAGGUGCGUCUGGGUGGAAUUACAGGUGAGUUUGAUUUACAACAUAGGGCUUUUCUGCAUUUCUCAGAUUCUCUUUGAGCCUGAAUUCAGUUUGUAAUCAGAUAUCCCCCAAUAAUACUAAGUGUAUUUUUGUUACCUGCUUUAGGCAUUAUCUAAAUCAACUCUGACAACCACUCUGGUAGGGAGUUGUUACCAUUGCUAUUCCUGUUUUAAAGAGGAAGAAAGAGGAGUCUAGACAUUUGCCCAAGGUCAUACAGCAAGUGGCACAGCUGUGACUCUAACCACAUUAAAUGCAAUUGAAUCAAUCAAAAGUUAAUAUCAGGGAUGGUCCGGGUCUAUGGGAGAAUGCUGAUUUGCUUGCUCCUCUGUGACUUGCCCAAUGGCACUCUGGAUGUUGUGUGGACAAACAGCCUGGGCCCCACAGAAAGCUGCUGAGCGGCCCCUGGAGACAGGAGAAGCCUGGCAUGAUCCCCCACCCCUUGCCAGGACCUGGACACCUCUCGCUGCUCAAGACAAUGGGAACACU